This 488-nucleotide ribosomal RNA is filed under the name uncultured bacterium. Its description in RNAcentral is "bacterial SSU rRNA". It matches the Rfam family "Bacterial small subunit ribosomal RNA", at positions 30 to 513 of the family's 1533-position model. The record is from RNAcentral.
UAUUGAACGCUGGCGGCAGGCCUAACACAUGCAAGUCGAGCGAGAAAUCACUUCGGUGAGAGUACAGCGGCGGACGGGUGAGUAACGCGUAGGAAUCUACCCGGUAGUGGGGGACAACAUGGUGAAAACCAUGCUAAUACCGCAUACGCCCUAUGGGGGAAAGCGGGGGACCUUCGGGCCUCGCGCUAUCGGAUGAGCCUGCGUAAGAUUAGCUAGUUGGUGGGGUAAAAGCCUACCAAGGCGACGAUCUUUAGCUGGUCUGAGAGGAUGAUCAGCCACACUGGGACUGAGACACGGCCCAGACUCCUACGGGAGGCAGCAGUGGGGAAUAUUGCGCAAUGGGCGAAAGCCUGACGCAGCCAUGCCGCGUGUGUGAAGAAGGCCCUAGGGUUGUAAAGCACUUUCAAUUGGGAAGAAAAGCUGUACGUUAAUAGCGUGCAGCCCUGACAUUACCUUUAGAAGAAGCACCGGCUAACUCCGUGCCAGCG